UGUUCGUUAUUUAGGGCGCAUGGUGGAUGCCUUGGCAUGCUGAGCCGAUGAAGGACGUGAAAGGCUGCGUUAAGCCUCGGGGAGUUGUCAAUUAAGCGUUGAUCCGAGGAUGUCCGAAUGGGGAAACCUGGCACCUGUUAUGGGGUGUUACCCUUCAGUGAAUUCAUAGCUGUUGUGGGGGUUACGCGGGGAAGUGAAACAUCUCAGUACCCGUAGGAAGAGAAAAUAAUAAUGAUUCUGCUAGUAGUGGCGAACGAACGUGGAUGAGGCUAAACCGUGUGCAUGUGAUACCUGGUAGGGGUUGUGUGUGCGGUGUUGUGGGCCCUGAUGAGGAUGGCUACUGACGUCCUGCCCGCGCAUUGUUGUUAGGUGAAGUGGUGUGGAAACGCCUGCCGUAGAAGGUGAUAGUCCUGUAGCUGAAGAUGAUGGUGUGUGGGUUGUUGGGUUGCCCGAGUAGCAGCGGGCUCGUGGAAUCUGCUGUGAAUCUGCCGGGACCACCCGGUAAGCCUAAAUACUCAGUGUGACCGAUAGUGGAUAGUACCGUGAGGGAAUGGUGAAAAGUACCCCGGGAGGGGAGUGAAAUAGUUCCUGAAACCAUGUGCUUACAAUCCGUCAGAGCACUUUUUGUGUGUGAUGGCGUGCCUUUUGAAGAAUGAGCCUGCGAGUCAGCGGCAUGUCGCGAGGUUAACCCGUGUGGGGUAGCCGUAGGGAAACCGAAUCCUAAUGGGGUGUCAAGUGGCAUGUCCUGGACCCGAAGCGGGGUGAUCUACCCAUGGCCAGUGUGAAGCAGCAGUAAGAUGCUGUGGAGGCGCGAACCCACGUAGGUUGAAAACUGCGGGGAUGAGCUGUGGGUAGGGGUGAAAGGCCAAUCAAACUCCGUGAUAGCUGGUUCUCCCCGAAAUGCAUUUAGGUGCAGCGUCGCAUUAGCUUGGUGGAGGUAGAGCUACUGGUUGGUUGAGCGGGACUACAAUCUUAGCAAUGUCAGCCAAACUCCGAAUGCCAUUAAUGUGUUGUGCGGCAGUGAGACUGUGGGGGAUAAGCUUCAUAGUCGAGAGGGAAACAGCCCAGAUCGCCGGUUAAGGCCCCUAAGGGUGUGCUAAGUGGAAAAGGAUGUGGGAUCGCGAAGACAGCCAGGAGGUUGGCUUAGAAGCAGCCAUCCUUGAAAGAGUGCGUAAUAGCUCACUGGUCGAGUGGUUCUGCGCCGACAAUGUAGUGGGGCUCAAGCACACCGCCGAAGCCGCGGCAAUAAUAUUUUGUUAUUGGGUAGGGGAGCGUCGUGCACGUGUUGAAGCGUUACCGUGAGGAGGCGUGGAGUGUGUGCGAGUGAGAAUGCAGGCAUGAGUAACGAAUUGGAAGGUGAGAAUCCUUCCCGCCGGAUGACUAAGGGUUCCUGGGUCAAGUUCGUCUUCCCAGGGUGAGUCGGGACCUAAGGCGAGGCCGACAGGCGUAGUCGAUGGAUAAC
RNAcentral lists this ribosomal RNA (1462 nucleotides) under Corynebacterium striatum. RNAcentral's name for it is "partial 23S ribosomal RNA". It matches the Rfam family "Bacterial large subunit ribosomal RNA", at positions 1 to 1426 of the family's 2925-position model. The record is from RNAcentral. Lineage: Bacteria; Bacillati; Actinomycetota; Actinomycetes; Mycobacteriales; Corynebacteriaceae.